RNAcentral lists this ribosomal RNA (2172 nucleotides) under Triticum aestivum (bread wheat). Its description in RNAcentral is "partial small subunit ribosomal RNA". Lineage: Eukaryota; Viridiplantae; Streptophyta; Magnoliopsida; Poales; Poaceae. The record is from RNAcentral.
CCCAAAAGUUCUAUUCGUCCGUUUCACGCUCCCACGGUCUCACUCUCACCCCCAAACCCAAAUCCCCAAACCCUAACCACAGCACCUACCUCCUCCUCCUCCGCCGCCGCCGCCAUGGCAGGAGCAGGAGUCGGCGGCCGCAAGGCUCGCAACUUCGCGACCUUUCGCCUAUUCCCCCGCGACGGUGCCGCCGACCCCAACGACCGCGUCUUCGUCCGCGUCGACAACAACGCCUACACCAUCCCUGGCUUCGGCGACGACGAAGACCCUUCCCUCUCCCCCACCGCCGCCGCCGACCAAUUCCCUUCCUCCACCUCUGCCCCCCUCCCCGACCACGUCCGCCAGCAGAUCCUUGAGCUCGGCCUCCCCGACGAUGGCUACAACUACCUUCUCCAUCUCCGUGAGCUGCGGCCCUCCGCUGUGGCCUCCUCCUUCGUGCCCAGCCAUACCGCCCGCCCAGAGCAACUUCCCCUGGACGUCAAGGCCUAUGAUGCAAGCAAGGUGCGGGUUGCUUCUGGCAAGGUCGAGGAAGAGCUGGACGAGGGGAGGACCAUGUGUAAGGUGGCCGCAAAGACGGCACCGGUGAGGCGAGUUGAGAAGGCCGUCGACCCUGACGUUGCAAGGUUGCUCGAUGAGAGCGAGGAUGAGGGUUUGGAGGAGGAUUUCGUCAUCAUGGCAAACCAAGCCGAAGGGGAUGACAUGGAGGAUGAAAGUGAGGAAGAGGGUGGUGGUGUGUUCAGUGAUGUGGAAAAUGAUGAGGAGUUCGACAAUGAAGAGGAUGAGCCCAAGCCGAGGGUGCCACGAUUGCUGGAUGAACAAUUUGAUUUGCUUGCUCUGGAAGAGUAUGGAGCUAGUGAUGAUGAUGAUGGAGCUGUUAGAGAUGGGGAACAUGAACUCCCAACAGAGGUUAUAGAUGAAUUGAAGUUGUUCCACAAUCAAAAUGUAUGUGUUGAUGAAGAAUAUAGAACACCAGCAGAUUUUGUUCGUGGAAAACUUGACUCAACCACCACUGAGGAGGUGGAUGAAUCUGCUAAUGUGAUCCAAAAGUGUGCUGAAUAUGCUGAAAGGUAUUUAAAUGAAACUGCAGAAGAUGAAGAGGUCUUGCUUGUUUCAGAAAGCAGUGAUGAAUCUGAAGUUUGGGACUGUGAGACCAUUGUUUCCACGUACUCUAACUUGGACAAUCAUCCUGGCAAAAUUCAAACUCCAGGAAAUCCUAGAAAUCGUCUUCCCAAAGUUUUCCCUGGGGAAACAGCAACAACGAAAGAUAUCAUCAAGCUUCAUGGUAAAGAGAAACUUCCUGUAGAUUACCUGCCACAGAGGAAAAGAAAAGUUGAAAAGGAGAAGAAAGCAAAGCCCACAGAAGCUUCAGAUGCUGAAUAUUAUUUUGAAAAGGUAGUAGUUCAGAAGGAAACAAAAGAUGAAAAGAAAGCUAGAAAGUCCGCGGUAAAAGAAGAGAAGAGAGAAGCCCGGAAAGCAAAGAAAGAGCUGAAAGAACUGUAUAAAUUUGAAACACAGAAGGCUCAGAAAGUUGCCGCUGUUACAGGACCAUCUUCCAUACGGCUAAUAUAAUUGUCCUGUGUCAUAUGUAGCAUGUUUCCUACAUCUGCUGAACGGUUGAAGCCUUGAAGACAGUGGUCCAGAGCAAGAUAGGUUGUCCCAUUCUCUGGACUGGAGGCAGUGAAUGAUUUUGCUUGGCGUUACCUUUUUACUGCCGAAUGUAUGAGUUUUGUGUUACCUUAAUGAGCACACCAAGUGAAUCAAAUGGGCGAAUAGUUUUGUGAGCUUACACAGAAAUUUGCAGGAUCCAGAUACCUCCGGAAAUCCUCUCUUCAAAACAGAGGUUACAAAGAUUUAUCAAUUCCAGGGGUUCGAGCAAAAGCAAAAUGCUCUUUCCGGUUGCUGGUAGUGCUAUUUCUUUCUAGGUUUUGCAGUAAUAUCAGUAUAUGAGAUUGUUUAUGAAAGCGGUAGUAUGACAAUCGAGUGGACGUGGUCCUGGUAUCUUUGUUGUUUGGGAUCUGUGACUGCAGUUUGUUGGGUAAAAUACCGGGCUGCAGCAAUAUUAGCAUACAUUCAUAACGUAUUUGUCAGAUUGCCAUGUGGCCUUGUGACAUUUCAAAUCGUUAGAGCAUCUCUACCCUCUACCAGAUUCCUCGAAAGUAAAAGUUAUAUCCG